GACGAACGCUGGCGGCGUGCUUAACACAUGCAAGUCGAACGGACAGGCCCUGCUUGCAGUGUACUCGAGUGGCGAACGGAUGAGUAACACGUGGGUGAUCUACCCUGCACUUCGGGAUAAGCAUGGGAAACUAGGUCUAAUAACGGCCAGGAGCCAUAUUUAGUGUGAUGGUUGGAAAGUUUUGUGGGUGUAGGAUGAGUUCGUGGCGUAUCAGCUUGUUGGUGGAGUAAUGGCCUACCAAGGCGGCGACGGGUAGCCGGCCUGAGAGGGUGGACGGCCACACAGAGUCUUAGGGGAGGCCCAGACUGCGACUGGUGGGCGCAGGGGGGAAGAUUGCAGAAGGGGCGCAGGGCGGAUGCAGAGAGGCCGCGGGGCGGAUGACGGUCUUAGGGUUGUAAACUCCUUGUGCUAGGGACUAAGCUCUUCGUGACGGUACCUAGACAGGAAGCCACGGCUAACUACGUG
This 465-nucleotide ribosomal RNA is filed under the name uncultured bacterium. Its description in RNAcentral is "partial 16S ribosomal RNA". It matches the Rfam family "Bacterial small subunit ribosomal RNA", at positions 28 to 507 of the family's 1533-position model. The record is from RNAcentral.